GACGAACGCUGGCGGCGUGCUUAACACAUGCAAGUCGAACGGAAAGGCCCUGCUUUUGUGGGGUGCUCGAGUGGCGAACGGGUGAGUAACACGUGUGUAACCUGCCCUUGUCUUUGGGAUAACUUCUGGAAACUGGGGCUAAUAUCGGAUAGGAGCUACUGCUGCAUGGUGGGGGUUGGAAAGUUUCGGCGGUUGGGGAUGGACUCGCGGCUUAUCAGCUUGUUGGUGGAGUAGUGGCUUACCAAGGCUUUGACGGGUAGCCGGCCUGAGAGGGUGACCGGCGACAAUAGUACUAAGAGACGGCGCAGACGCGUACGGGAGGCAGCGGGGGGGAAUAUUGCGCAGUGGGCGGGAGCCUGAUGCAGCAACGCCGCGAGCGUGAUGACGUCCUUCUAGUUAUAAACCGCUUUCGCCGGUGACAAAGCGUGAGUGACGGUAAUGAGUAAAGAAGCACCGGCUAACUACGUG
Molecule: ribosomal RNA, 468 nt
Filed under: uncultured bacterium
Lineage: Bacteria
Description: partial 16S ribosomal RNA
Rfam family: Bacterial small subunit ribosomal RNA
Source: RNAcentral